Molecule: long non-coding RNA, 733 nt
Organism: Neltuma alba
Lineage: Eukaryota; Viridiplantae; Streptophyta; Magnoliopsida; Fabales; Fabaceae
Exons: 2
Source: RefSeq, a predicted model, not a curated record
AAAUUCCAAUCAGCUUCUCAAAUUUGAGUUUUCUCAGUAUGUUGAACUUGGCCUUCAACAAUUUAUCAGGAAAAAUUCCAACGGGCACCCAACUUCAAUCCUUCAAUGCCUCCGGUUAUAUAGGAAACCAGGGGCUUUGUGGCAUGCCACUUACAGAGAGAUGUCCAGAAGAUGGGAAUUCAAAUCUGAAUCCCAAUAAUGCACGUGACAUUGAUGCAGAUGGAGAUGAUAAUCUCAUAAGCUUUGGGUUUUAUGCUAGCAUGGCUCUUGGCUUCAUUACUGGGUUUUGGGGAGUUUGUGGGACUUUAAUUCUCAAAAAGUCUUGGCGGCAUUCCUUUUUCCACUUCUUUGAAAACACGUACAACUGGAUUUAUGUUCAAGUUGCUAUUUUGAAGGCAAAGAUAAAGAGAAGAUUCCAACACUAAUAGAUGGUUGGAGAAAGUUGCAGAAAUAAUCAUCCUGCUGGCGAGGUUUCGACUACAUUUGGGAAUGGGAUGGUGUAUUACAAGCGAGCACGACUGGAUCUGCUCUUCUAUUUUACUUUCUUGUUUUGUCUGUAUUUCUUUCUCUUUAUGUAAGAUGAAAGCCAGGUCACUUGUCAGCCGCUGCAAAGUUCCCUAAUCCGUGUUGAGAGUGUUCUGUAAUCAAUGCAGUGUUAGUGUUAAAUUAGAAAUUUCAUCAUCUGUAGUUCUGUUUUUUGGCAAAGAAAAAGUAUGGCUCCUUUUAACCAUUA